This 201-nucleotide ribosomal RNA is filed under the name Clostridioides difficile. RNAcentral's name for it is "partial 23S ribosomal RNA". It matches the Rfam family "Bacterial large subunit ribosomal RNA", at positions 1339 to 1536 of the family's 2925-position model. Lineage: Bacteria; Bacillati; Bacillota; Clostridia; Peptostreptococcales; Peptostreptococcaceae. The record is from RNAcentral.
GUAAACCCAAGGUUUCCAGGGGAAGGUUCGUCCGCCCUGGGUUAGUCGGGACCUAAGCUGAGGCCGAAAGGCGUAGGUGAUGGACAACAGGUGGAUAUUCCUGUACUACCGAUAACCGUUUGAGAGAAGGGAUGACACAGUAGGAUAAGCUAAGCACACUGUUGGUUAUGUGUGCCCAAGCAUUGAGGCAGUCAAAGUAGG